GCAUGCAUGGCUGAGUGGUCGAUAGCAACGGACUCAUAAUCCGUAUCCGAAAGGACAUCGCAGGUUCAAACCCUGCUGCAUGCU
This 84-nucleotide transfer RNA is filed under the name Gloeotilopsis sterilis. RNAcentral describes it as "tRNA-Ile". It matches the Rfam family "tRNA". From Rfam's summary of the family: Transfer RNA (tRNA) molecules are approximately 80 nucleotides in length. Their secondary structure includes four short double-helical elements and three loops (D, anti-codon, and T loops). Lineage: Eukaryota; Viridiplantae; Chlorophyta; Ulvophyceae; Ulotrichales; Ulotrichaceae. The record is from RNAcentral.